RNAcentral lists this transfer RNA (89 nucleotides) under Nitrospirales bacterium. Its description in RNAcentral is "tRNA-Leu". It matches the Rfam family "tRNA". Rfam says of the family: Transfer RNA (tRNA) molecules are approximately 80 nucleotides in length. Their secondary structure includes four short double-helical elements and three loops (D, anti-codon, and T loops). Further hydrogen bonds mediate the characteristic L-shaped molecular structure. tRNAs have two regions of fundamental functional importance: the anti-codon, which is responsible for specific mRNA codon recognition, and the 3' end, to which the tRNAs corresponding amino acid is attached (by aminoacyl-tRNA synthetases). tRNAs cope with the degeneracy of the genetic code in two manners: having more than one tRNA (with a specific anti-codon) for a particular amino acid; and 'wobble' base-pairing, i.e. permitting non-standard base-pairing at the 3rd anti-codon position. Lineage: Bacteria; Pseudomonadati; Nitrospirota; Nitrospiria; Nitrospirales. The record is from RNAcentral.
GCCGGAGUGGCGGAAUAGGCAGACGCCAGGGACUUAAAAUCCCUUGCUCCGAAAGGGGCGUACCGGUUCAAGUCCGGUCUCCGGCACCA